This is a non-coding RNA of Chelonia mydas (Green sea turtle), 72 nucleotides long. The record is from Rfam. NCBI's taxonomy places the organism in Eukaryota, Metazoa, Chordata, Testudines, Cheloniidae.
UGGAAGCUGGUUUCACAUGGUGGCUUAGAUUUUCCCAUCUUUGUAUCUAGCACCAUUUGAAAUCAGUGUUCU